CCUACGGGCGGCAGCAGUGGGGAAUAUUGGACAAUGGGCGAAAGCCUGAUCCAGCCAUGCCGCGUGUGUGAAGAAGGCCUUCGGGUUGUAAAGCACUUUCAGUGGGGAAGAAAGCCUUGGGGCUAAUACCCUCGAGGAAGGACAUCACCCACAGAAGAAGCACCGGCUAACUCCGUGCCAGCAGCCGCGGUAAUACGGAGGGUGCGAGCGUUAAUCGGAAUUACUGGGCGUAAAGCGCGCGUAGGCGGUCUGAUAAGCCGGUUGUGAAAGCCCCGGGCUCAACCUGGGAACGGCAUCCGGAACUGUCAGGCUAGAGUGCAGGAGAGGAAGGUAGAAUUCCCGGUGUAGCGGUGAAAUGCGUAGAGAUCGGGAGGAAUACCAGUGGCGAAGGCGGCCUUCUGGACUGACACUGACGCUGAGGUGCGAAAGCGUGGGUAGCAGACAGGAUUAGAUACCCUGGUAGUC
Molecule: ribosomal RNA, 465 nt
Filed under: Vreelandella stevensii
Lineage: Bacteria; Pseudomonadati; Pseudomonadota; Gammaproteobacteria; Oceanospirillales; Halomonadaceae
Description: partial 16S ribosomal RNA
Rfam family: Bacterial small subunit ribosomal RNA
Source: RNAcentral